Molecule: non-coding RNA, 67 nt
Filed under: Megalodesulfovibrio gigas DSM 1382 = ATCC 19364
Lineage: Bacteria; Pseudomonadati; Thermodesulfobacteriota; Desulfovibrionia; Desulfovibrionales; Desulfovibrionaceae
Source: RNAcentral
UUGCGAAACGGGAGGAUUCCUCCCGUCGCCCUGGCGUGGUGGCCAGUGGCCUGAUGAGCAGCCCAAU